AAGUCGUAACAAGGUUUCCGUAGGUGAACCUGCGGAAGGAUCAUUAUUGGAUUCGGGAUCCCGAGCUCGCUCGGACCCGCAAACACAAUCAAUAACCUUUUGUGAACCUGUCGGCCCUCGGGCCUUCACCUCCAAACAUCUGUGUGUGGUUGAACGUAGCAUAAACAAAACAAAAACACAACUUUCAACAAUGGAUCUCUUGGCUCUC
RNAcentral lists this unclassified non-coding RNA (208 nucleotides) under air metagenome. Its description in RNAcentral is "partial contains small subunit ribosomal RNA, internal transcribed spacer 1, and 5.8S ribosomal RNA". The stretch from base 1 to 46 matches the Rfam family "Eukaryotic small subunit ribosomal RNA", at positions 1786 to 1831 of the family's 1831-position model. The record is from RNAcentral.